CAUACUACCCCACGCACAACAAGUGGUGCCCCGUCAAGGUUCUGGAUGCAUACCUACAGCAUCAUAUUUCAAUACCAUCACAACCAUUACUACUAUUACAAAGUUCAGUACUCACCACUACAACCUUCAUGACCUACGUCAGGUCUUUGCUCACUCAACUGGGCCUCAAAGCAGCUAACUACUCAGGGCACUCCUUCCGCAUAGG
This is a non-coding RNA of Pelobates cultripes (western spadefoot toad), 205 nucleotides long. Lineage: Eukaryota; Metazoa; Chordata; Amphibia; Anura; Pelobatidae. The record is from the annotation of a GenBank genome assembly.